This is a long non-coding RNA of Strigops habroptila (Kakapo), 230 nucleotides long. RefSeq lists it as uncharacterized. The record is from RefSeq and is a predicted model, not a curated record. NCBI's taxonomy places the organism in Eukaryota, Metazoa, Chordata, Aves, Psittaciformes, Psittacidae. The transcript is spliced from 2 exons.
CAGAAUAAAACCAGGGUCAGAACGGCUCUGGCUGAGAGGCAGAGGCUGCCCCAGGGGUUGGAGGCUUGAGGUGGGGCUGGGAAAUACUUGGUAACAGUCCUAAAAGAUCUUUCACUGAACAAACAUCAUCAAGAUCUACUCCACUUCCAUGCAUCCUGCCUACGGAAGCACACAAGUUCCAGGAAUCAAGACCUGGUGAGAAGCUCCUCAAUGAGACAUUCAUGGCUGAA